GGACUCUCGGCAACGGAUAUCUCGGCUCUUGCAUCGAUGAAGAACGUAGCGAAAUGCGAUACUUGGUGUGAAUUGCAGAAUCCCGUGAACCAUCGAGUCUUUGAACGCAAGUUGCGCCUGAAGCCAUUAGGCUGAGGGCAUGCCUGCCUGGGUGUCG
RNAcentral lists this ribosomal RNA (157 nucleotides) under Crotalaria calycina. RNAcentral's name for it is "5.8S ribosomal RNA". It matches the Rfam family "5.8S ribosomal RNA". From Rfam's summary of the family: 5.8S ribosomal RNA (5.8S rRNA) is a component of the large subunit of the eukaryotic ribosome. It is transcribed by RNA polymerase I as part of the 45S precursor that also contains 18S and 28S rRNA. The record is from RNAcentral. Lineage: Eukaryota; Viridiplantae; Streptophyta; Magnoliopsida; Fabales; Fabaceae.